This 776-nucleotide ribosomal RNA is filed under the name uncultured Neocallimastigales. RNAcentral describes it as "partial large subunit ribosomal RNA". It matches the Rfam family "Eukaryotic large subunit ribosomal RNA", at positions 23 to 631 of the family's 3401-position model. The record is from RNAcentral. Lineage: Eukaryota; Fungi; Neocallimastigomycota; Neocallimastigomycetes; Neocallimastigales.
AGAGAUGUGUGAUGACGCAUAUCAAUAAGCGGAGGAAAAGAAACUAACAAGGAUUCCCUUAGUAACGGCGAGUGAAGCGGGAAGAGCUCAAAUUUGAAAUCUCCAAGGUUCUACCUUGACGAAUUGUAGUUUAUAGAAGUGUUUUCUGUUAGUGGAGUGGCAAAAGUUCUUUGGAAUUAGGACAUCAUAGAGGGUGAGAAUCCCGUAUUUGGUCAUUCCUCCUAGCUUUGUGAUACACUUUCAACGAGUCGGAUUGUUUGGGAAUGCAGUCCAAAAUGGGUGGUAAAUUUCAUCUAAAGCUAAAUAUUGGCGAGAGACCGAUAGCGAACAAGUACCGUGAGGGAAAGAUGAAAAGAACUUUGAAAAGAGAGUUAAACAGUACGUGAAAUUGUCAAAAGGGAAGCGUUUGACACCAGUGUUGUUUUCUCGAAAAUCAAUUACGAAUGUUUUAUUUUUGAGGAGUUAUGACUUCAUCGGCUUGCUCCUUUCUUUAUGAAACUUUCUUAAUGCACUUUUCGGUUAACAAGUCAACAUCAAUUUCUUUUGUUGUAAAAGGGUAUGAGGAAGGUGGCUUUCUUUUCGGAGAAAGUGUUUAUAGCCUUGUACCUCUGCAAUCGGAAAGAUUGAGGUCUGCAGCGUAGAUCCUUCGGGGUUAGAUACAUUUGUGCUAAGUUAUAGCUUUUCAUAGACAACUUGUUGACUAUGUUUAGUCUUGUAGCUUACUCGCUUACUGCUAUUUUACCUACGCUUAGGAUGUUGAGUCGUAGAGCACGCAG